This is a non-coding RNA of Actinia tenebrosa (Australian red waratah sea anemone), 73 nucleotides long. Lineage: Eukaryota; Metazoa; Cnidaria; Anthozoa; Actiniaria; Actiniidae. The record is from the annotation of a RefSeq genome assembly.
GGCAGCAUGGUUGAGUGGUCAUAGCGUCGGUCUCACAAUCCGGUGGUGCCGGGUUCGAGUCCCGCUGUGGCCA